Molecule: ribosomal RNA, 828 nt
Filed under: uncultured archaeon
Lineage: Archaea
Description: bacterial SSU rRNA
Rfam family: Archaeal small subunit ribosomal RNA
Source: RNAcentral
GCUACUGCCAUCAGAGUUCGAUUAAGCCAUGUUAGUCGAGGGUGCUUCUUCUUCGGAAGAGGUAACCCGGCGGACGGCUCAGUAACACGUGGAUAACUUGCCCUUGGGUCCGGGAUAACCCCUGAGAAAUUGGGGACAAUACCGGAUAGGGCAUCGUUAGCUGGAAUGCGCGAUGUCCAAAAGCUGAGGCGCCCAAGGAUAGGUCUGCGGCCGAUUAGGUUGUUGUUGAUGUAAUGGAUCAACAAGCCUGCAAUCGGUACGGGUUGUGAGAGCAAGAGCCCGGAGAUGGGUUCUGAGAAAAGAACCCAGGUCCUACGGGACGCAUCAGGCGCGAAAACUUUACAAUGUGCGAAAGCACGAUAAGGGAACUCUGAGUGCCUCCUAUGGAGGCUGUUCAGGUGUCUAAAAAGCACUUGAAGUAAGGGCUGGGUAAGACCGGUGCCAGCCGCCGCGGUAACACCGGCAGCCCAAGUGGUAGCCACGAUUAUUGGGUCUAAAGCGUCCGUAGCCGGCCAGGUAAGUUCUUUGGGAAAUUUAACCGCUUAACGGUUAAGCUUUCAGGGAAUACUGCUUGGCUUGGGACCGGGAGAGGUCAGAGGUACUUCAAGGGUAGGGGUGAAAUCCGUUAAUCCUUGAGGGACCACCAGUAGCGAAGGCGUCUGACCAGACCGGGUCCGACGGUGAGGGACGAAGGCUAGGGUCGCGAACCGGAUUAGAUACCCGGGUAGUCCUAGCUGUAAACGAUGCGGGCCAGGUGUUGGCAUUACUGCGAGUGAUGUCAGUGCCGAAAGGGAAGCCGUUUAAGCCCGCCAUCUGGGGAGUACGGUC